Molecule: ribosomal RNA, 263 nt
Filed under: uncultured fungus
Lineage: Eukaryota; Fungi
Description: partial 28S ribosomal RNA
Rfam family: Eukaryotic large subunit ribosomal RNA
Source: RNAcentral
GUGAAAUUGUUGAAAGGGAAGCGCUCAAGAUCAGACUCACUUGGUGGUAAUCAGCAGUGUGUUUCUGGGUCGUGCACUUGCCAAUCAUUGGGACAGCAUUGAUUUGAAUGGCAGGAAAAAGAUGUGAGGAAAGUAGCUCUCUUCGGGGAGUGUUAUAGACGCCUGUGUAAUGCGGCCGGGACGAGAUCAAGGCCCGCGCGUCUGGCUAGGAGGCGGUCGUAAUGGCUUCAAGCGACCCGUCUUGAAACACGGACCAAGGAGUC